This 254-nucleotide ribosomal RNA is filed under the name uncultured bacterium. Its description in RNAcentral is "partial 16S ribosomal RNA". It matches the Rfam family "Bacterial small subunit ribosomal RNA", at positions 524 to 776 of the family's 1533-position model. The record is from RNAcentral.
UACGGGGGGAGCAAGCGUUGUUCGGAUUUACUGGGCGUAAAGGGCGCGUAGGCGGCCACCGCAAGUCGACUGUGAAAUCUCUGGGCUUAACCCAGAAAGGUCAGCCGAUACUGCGGGGCUAGAGUGCAGAAGGGGCAACUGGAAUUCUCGGUGUAGCGGUGAAAUGCGUAGAUAUCGAGAGGAACACCUGCGGCGAAGGCGGGUUGCUGGGCUGACACUGACGCUGAUGCGCGAAAGCUAGGGGAGCGAACGGG